GAAAGUAAGUAAGGGCGUAUGGGGGAUGCCUAGGCUCUUGGAGGCUAAGAAGGACGUGGUAAGCUGCGAAAAGCUGCGGGGAUUUGCAAACGAGACUCGAUCCGCAGAUAUCCGAAUGGGACAACCCGGCAGGUAGAAGACCUGUCACACCGCGAGGUGAGCUAACCCUCUGAACUGAAACAUCUAAGUAGGAGGAGGAAAAGAAAGAAACAUCGAUUUCCAAAGUAGCGGCGAGCGAAAUGGAAGAAGCCCAAACCGAUAUUGUUACGGCAAUAUCGGGGUUGUAGGACUGCAAUAUUCAAUUAACAAUGAACUGGAAUGGUCUGGAAAGUCCAUCCAUAGAGAGUGAAAGGCUCGUACAGGUAAGUUUGUUAUGCGAAAGCAGUAUCCUGAGUAUGGCGGGACACGAGGAAUCCUGUCAGAAUCAGCCGGGACCACCCGGUAAGGCUAAAUACUCCCAAGAGACCGAUAGUGGACCAGUACUGUGAAGGAAAGGUGAAAAGAACCCCGAACAGGGGAGUGAAAUAGAACCUGAAACCAUACGCUUACAACCGGUCGGAGCAGCUUCGUGCUGUGACGGCGUGCCUAUUGAAUAAUGAGCCUACGAGUUACUAAUCACUAGCGAGGUUAAGUGCAAGGAUGCACGGAGCCGAAGCGAAAGCGAGUCUGAACAGGGCGUUUAGUUAGUGGUUGUAGACGCGAAACCUUGCGAUCUACCCUUGAGCAGGUUGAAGGUUGGGUAAAACCAACUGGAGGACCGAACGAAUAAGCGUUGAAAAGCUUCUCGAUGACUUGAGGGUAGGGGUGAAAGGCUAAUCAAGCUGGGAAAUAGCUCGUACUCCCCGAAAUGCCUUUUGGGGCAGCGUUGUAAUAAAGAGUCUACUGGAGGUAGAGCUACUGAUUGGAUGCGGGGGCUUCACCGCCUACCAAAUCCUGACAAACUCCGAAUGCCAGUAGUAUGAUUUACAGCAGUGAGUGACUGGGUGCUAAUGUCCAGUCGCAAAAGAGGAACAACUCAGACCAGCAACUAAGGUCCCGAAGAAUAUGCUAAGUUGAUCUAACGAUGUUUUGUUGCAGAGACAGCUAGGAUGUUAGCUUGGAAGCAGCUAUUCAUUCAAAGAGUGCGUAACAGCUCACUAGUCGAGCGACAGAGCGUGGAUAAUAAACGGGCAUCAAGCAUAUCACCGAAGUUCUGGGCGCGAGAGCGCGGUAGGGGAGCAUUCCAUUCAGCGUCGAAGCAGUUUCGUGAGGAAUUGUGGAGCGUAUGGAAAAGCAAAUGUAGGCAUGAGUAACGAUAAUGCGGGAGAGUAACCCGCACACCGCAAGACCAAGGUUUCCUGAUCAACGCUAAUCGGAUCAGGGUUAGUCGGGUCCUAAGGGUAAGCCGAACGGCGAUCUCGAUGGAUAAUCGGUUAAUAUUCCGAUACUAACAUAUACCUCGAUGGAGAGACGAAGGAACGUAAGUGCCGCCACCUGACGGAAUAGGUGGUUAAAGGGCGUAGGUAUAGGGGCAGAUUAAGAGUUAGUCCUUGCUGAAACCUGACAGUACAGAGAGCCUACGGGCAAUUUGAUAGAGCACCCAAGUCGACUUCCGAGAAAAUCUUCUAAGUUAUAGUAUAUGUUACCCGUACCGUAAACCGACACAGGUGGUCGAGGAGAGUAUCCUAAGGUGCUCGAGUGAAUCACGGUUAAGGAACUAGGCAAAUUAACCCCGUAACUUCGGGAAAAGGGGUCCCUAUGAAAGUAGGGCGCAGCGAAGAGGUCCAGGCGACUGUUUAUCAAAAACACAGGGCUCUGCAAAUUCGAAAGAAGACGUAUAGGGCCUGACACCUGCCCGGUGCUGGAAGGUUAAGAGGGGAUGUCAUCGCAAGAGAAGCAUUGAAUCGAAGCCCCAGUAAACGGCGGCCGUAACUAUAACGGUCCUAAGGUAGCGAAAUUCCUUGUCGGGU
This 1949-nucleotide ribosomal RNA is filed under the name human gut metagenome. RNAcentral's name for it is "bacterial LSU rRNA". It matches the Rfam family "Bacterial large subunit ribosomal RNA", at positions 1 to 1977 of the family's 2925-position model. The record is from RNAcentral.